RNAcentral lists this ribosomal RNA (478 nucleotides) under uncultured bacterium. Its description in RNAcentral is "partial 16S ribosomal RNA". It matches the Rfam family "Bacterial small subunit ribosomal RNA", at positions 28 to 523 of the family's 1533-position model. The record is from RNAcentral.
GACGAACGCUGGCGGCGUGCUUAACACAUGCAAGUCGAACGGUAAGGCCCUUCGGGGUACACGAGUGGCGAACGGGUGAGUAACACGUGGGUGAUCUGCCCUGCACUUCGGGAUAAGCCUGGGAAACUGGGUCUAAUACCGGAUAGGACUCCGGACUGCAUGGUCUGGGGUGGAAAGCUUUUGCGGGGUGGGAUGGGCCCGGGGCCUAUCAGCUUGUUGGUGGGGUGAUGGCCUGCCAAGGCGACGACGGGUAGCCGGCCUGAGGGGGUGUCCGGCCACACUGGGACUGAGAUACGGCCCAGGCUCCUACGGGAGGCAGCAGUGGGGAAUAUUGCACAAUGGGCGCAAGGCUGAUGCAGCGACGCCGCGUGAGGGAUGACGGCCUUCGGGUUGUAAACCUCUUUCAGCAUCGACGAAGCGAAAGUGACGGUAGGUGCAGAAGAAGGACCGGCCAACUACGUGCCAGCCGCCGCCGUAA